UACGUAGGGUGCGAGCGUUGUCCGGAAUUAUUGGGCGUAAAGAGCUUGUAGGCGGUUUGUCGCGUCUGCUGUGAAAACCCGUGGCUCAACCAUGUGGUCUGCAGUCGAUACGGGCAGGCUAGAAUUCGGUAGGGGAGACUGGAAUUCCUGGUGUAGCGGUGAAAUGCGCAGAUAUCAGGAGGAACACCGGUGGCGAAGGCGGGUCUCUGGGCCGAUAUUGACGCUGAGGAGCGAAAGCGUGGGGAGCGAACAGG
This 254-nucleotide ribosomal RNA is filed under the name uncultured bacterium. RNAcentral describes it as "partial 16S ribosomal RNA". It matches the Rfam family "Bacterial small subunit ribosomal RNA", at positions 524 to 776 of the family's 1533-position model. The record is from RNAcentral.